UGUCAGAAACAGGCCAAAGAAUCUAAAAACGGAGAGGGAGCGCAUUUCUAGCGCAGAAAAACGGGCCAAUGAGUCUAAAAGCGGUGAGGGUGCGCAUUUCUAGUGCAGAAAAACGGGGCAAAAGAGUCUAAAAGCGGCGAGGGUGCGCAUUUCUAGCGCAGAAAAACGGGGCAAAAGAGUCUAAAAGCGGAGAGAGUGUGCAUUUCUAGCAAAAAGUCUAAAAGUUGCCGUAAUUAAGGAGUUUAAUAUUAAGAGACAUCAUGAAAUUAAACAUCAAUUUGAAAAAUCUUAGUUUACACAACACUGUCAAAGAUAAAGAUAGUAAGUCAAGUAAAAUGGUGUGUAAAUGAAAUAAUCAGGAAAAAGUAUUAUUUAAAGUGGUAUAUUUCAUUAUUUGUUUUAUUACAGAGUGUGGCCCGUGACUUCAAAUAUAUUUCUCCUUCUGGCCCCCAACAAAAAAAGUUUGGACACCCCUGCCCUACACUGAGCUCUACACUGCCCCCAGUGGACCUCGACUCACUGAUACAGUCAGACUCAGUCAGUUGUUCUGAACCUGCAGGCCUAGUGGAACAAGCCGUAAGGAGGAGAGCCAGGCUUUCACGUCUACAAAUUAUAUGAAUGACGUUCAGGCUGACAUUUCUGGAGAAUUUGAUCAUGAAGAAGGGCCCAUCUAAGUAGGAGGAAGGGAAGAUCGGAGUGUUGGAUGCAGAACUGGCAGUCCCUUAUGGAUUCCUGGGCUAUGGAUAUUCU
This is a long non-coding RNA of Astyanax mexicanus (Mexican tetra), 750 nucleotides long. RefSeq lists it as uncharacterized. The transcript has 3 exons. Lineage: Eukaryota; Metazoa; Chordata; Actinopteri; Characiformes; Acestrorhamphidae. The record is from RefSeq and is a predicted model, not a curated record.